RNAcentral lists this ribosomal RNA (186 nucleotides) under uncultured bacterium. Its description in RNAcentral is "partial 16S ribosomal RNA". It matches the Rfam family "Bacterial small subunit ribosomal RNA", at positions 1315 to 1500 of the family's 1533-position model. The record is from RNAcentral.
GCUGCAUGAAGCUGGAAUCGCUAGUAAUCGCGGAUCAGAAUGCCGCGGUGAAUACGUUCCCGGGUCUUGUACACACCGCCCGUCACACCAUGGGAGUCGGGAAUGCCCGAAGUCAGUGACCCAACCGAAAGGGGGGAGCUGCCGAAGGCAGGCCUGGUAACUGGGGUGAAGUCGUAACAAGGUAUC